This 784-nucleotide ribosomal RNA is filed under the name uncultured bacterium. RNAcentral's name for it is "bacterial SSU rRNA". It matches the Rfam family "Bacterial small subunit ribosomal RNA", at positions 94 to 880 of the family's 1533-position model. The record is from RNAcentral.
ACCGGCGCACGGGUGAGUAACACGUAUCCAACCUGCCGAUGACUCGGGGAUAGCCUUUCGAAAGAAAGAUUAAUACCCGAUGGCAUAGUUCUUCCGCAUGGUAGAACUAUUAAAGAAUUUCGGUCAUCGAUGGGGAUGCGUUCCAUUAGGUUGUUGGCGGGGUAACGGCCCACCAAGCCUUCGAUGGAUAGGGGUUCUGAGAGGAAGGUCCCCCACAUUGGAACUGAGACACGGUCCAAACUCCUACGGGAGGCAGCAGUGAGGAAUAUUGGUCAAUGGACGAGAGUCUGAACCAGCCAAGUAGCGUGAAGGAUGACUGCCCUAUGGGUUGUAAACUUCUUUUAUACGGGAAUAAAGUGAGGCACGCGUGCCUUUUUGUAUGUACCGUAUGAAUAAGGAUCGGCUAACUCCGUGCCAGCAGCCGCGGUAAUACGGAGGAUCCGAGCGUUAUCCGGAUUUAUUGGGUUUAAAAGGAGCGUAGGCGGACGCUUAAGUCAGUUGUGAAAGUUUGCGGCUCAACCGUAAAAUUGCAGUUGAUACUGGGUGUCUUGAGUACAGUAGAGGCAGGCGGAAUUCGUGGUGUAGCGGUGAAAUGCUUAGAUAUCACGAAGAACUCCGAUUGCGAAGGCAGCCUGCUGGACUGUAACUGACGCUGAUGCUCGAAAGUGUGGGUAUCAAACAGGAUUAGAUACCCUGGUAGUCCACACAGUAAACGAUGAAUACUCGCUGUUUGCGAUAUACAGUAAGCGGCCAAGCGAAAGCGUUAAGUAUUCCACCUGGGGAG